This 190-nucleotide ribosomal RNA is filed under the name Latilactobacillus sakei. Its description in RNAcentral is "Lactobacillus sakei partial 16S ribosomal RNA". It matches the Rfam family "Bacterial small subunit ribosomal RNA", at positions 298 to 495 of the family's 1533-position model. The record is from RNAcentral. Lineage: Bacteria; Bacillati; Bacillota; Bacilli; Lactobacillales; Lactobacillaceae.
GGCGGGGCGGGGGCACGGGGGGCCUACGGGAGGCAGCAGUAGGGAAUCUUCCACAAUGGACGAAAGUCUGAUGGAGCAACGCCGCGUGAUGUGAAGAAGGUUUUCGGAUCGUAAAAGCUACUGUUGUAUAGGAAGAACAGAUUGAGUGUAAAAGGUCAUUGAUAUUGACGUAUCCAACCAGAAAGCCACG